This 386-nucleotide ribosomal RNA is filed under the name uncultured bacterium. RNAcentral's name for it is "bacterial SSU rRNA". It matches the Rfam family "Bacterial small subunit ribosomal RNA", at positions 28 to 406 of the family's 1533-position model. The record is from RNAcentral.
GACGAACGCUGGCGGCGUGCUUAACACAUGCAAGUCGAGCGAGAAAGCUCCUUCGGGAGUGAGUACAGCGGCGAACGGGUGAGUAACACGUGGGCAACCUGCCCUAGGGAGCGGGACAACCCGAGGAAACUCGGGCUAAUACCGCAUGAUUCGUCAUGUCUCAAGGCAUGACGGGAAAUGGUAGCUUCGGCCUCCGCCCUAGGAUGGGCCCGCGGCGCAUUAGCUUGUUGGNGUGGGUAACGGCUCACCAAGGCGACGAUGCGUAGCUGGUCUGAGAGGACGAUCAGCCACACUGGGACUGAGACACGGCCCAGACUCCUACGGGAGGCAGCAGUGGGGAAUAUUGGACAAUGGGCGCAAGCCUGAUCCAGCGAUGCCGCGUGUGU